GGAAUAUGAAAGAUCAAAUGAAAGCUGCUAACUUUUUAUUUUAAUGGUUUAAACCCAUUAAUAUUCCU
RNAcentral lists this transfer RNA (68 nucleotides) under Rhomboptera ligata. Its description in RNAcentral is "tRNA-Ser". Lineage: Eukaryota; Metazoa; Arthropoda; Insecta; Orthoptera; Tettigoniidae. The record is from RNAcentral.